GGUCAAAGGUGGCUGGGAUCAGCUCGUAGUUUGAUGUUCGGCGAGCAGGGGGCGGUUCGUUAUUUGACGUAACUGCCCCAUUUGCUCGUGUUUCUUCGGCAGAACUCCCAGGGUGCUCUUCGCCGAGUGUCCUGUUGGGGGCUGCCAGGUUUACUUUGAAAAAAUUAGAGUGCUCCAAGCAGGCUCGACACGCCUGAAUAUUUGUGCAUGGAAUAAUGGAAUAGGACGUCGUUCCUAUUUUGUUGGUUUUAGGGAAUCGACGUAAUGAUUAAUAGGGACAGUCGGGGGCAUUAGUAUUCAGACGACAGAGGUGAAAUUCUUGGACCGUCUGGCGACUCACUGCUGCGAAAGCAUUUA
RNAcentral lists this ribosomal RNA (357 nucleotides) under uncultured eukaryote. RNAcentral's name for it is "bacterial SSU rRNA". It matches the Rfam family "Eukaryotic small subunit ribosomal RNA", at positions 625 to 957 of the family's 1831-position model. The record is from RNAcentral.